CUAAAGAAGUUACUUAUGUAUGGUCAGAAUAUAUAUAAGAUUUGCCUACCAAAACCCAAGGCUAAGUCAAGUCACUGUUAUUACCCAUUAGUAUAUUUUAUUCUAAUAUAUACAUAUAAAAAGAUAAAUUAUAGACAUACUGUAUAACAAAGAAUACAAGAUAUCGUUUAGAAUACAAAUAUAUACAAGAAAUAGUGAUAUUUAAUUAUCUUGGGUUCUGCUUGUUGGUUUAUGAUACUUUUUCCCUGACUUUAUAUCAGAGAAAAGCCCAUGCGUCUCGUAGGUUACUGUUCGAUGGGUGACGACUAUUAUCAUAUUACAACAUAUAGGCUAACAUAACACUUGCAGAACUAGUAUGGUUCGAUGCUGAAUUAAUAUAAACGAGUAUGUUUAUGACAUUCAGUAUAUAGUUCAUAAUUUCCAGUCUUAUCCGUCUGACCGUGUAGCUCAGUUGGUAGAGCGUCGAUCUAGUAAUUCGAAGGUCGCGGGUUCAAGACCCAGCCGCGCCAGACAAUAUCUUUCUGCUUGGCCAGUUGCGCUGGGUAUGGAAAUUAUGAAAUACACACUCGAGAACAUUUUCAACUUUUCAACUUAGUGCAUAAUCCCACUGCUGUGUGAUGCAUUCUGCGUCCUUGUCCUCGAACGUAAAUUUGUCAAUGCACUCCAAAAUUUCCUUACAGCAUCUAUAUUUUCUAGCGUCCUGCAAUAAUUCGUCGCUACAGUGUCCACAUGAGCACCUUAAAAUAAACUCGCAUAUCAGACGAAACAGGGUAAUAAAUAGUCGAGGAACGGGUUAAUAUAAUAUUACUUUUAUAACUUUACUUACCAUGAAUUAACAGCUAUACAUUUUUCUUAAAUCUCGCCUCAAGAGUUUCACGAAGAAUGCCGUCUUCGUCUGUUUGAUCUUCCUCGUAGUCACUAUAUGCGACUAGCUCAAAUUGAUAUGGCUGAACAACAGACGAUUGUUCAGCGAUGUCCUCAUUAUCUGUUGACCCUUCUGUCUCUGUAUGUGAUUCAAAGCUUUCGUUAUCGCACAUUUUUAUAGCGAAAUAUAAAGGCAACUGUCUGAUGUUCGUGUUAUUUUGUUGUUUUCGUAUAGUGAAACACUUCGGCGUGUCAUACUGCAUACGUCACAAGGCCCGGAACUCUAGGUACCAGUCUUUCGCCAGUAGAUAGUCGAAAAAGCGAACUUUAAUCGUAAAAUUAACAAACUUCUGGUUCAAAUUUUUCAACAAGGUUUGUAUUUUUAUGAUCGCAAAAGACCAAAUUUUCAGAAAAUGCAAAAAAACCGAUAUCGAAAUUUUCAUUUCAUAUACACUUUAAUAAAGGGUGAUGAACGAAAUCGUGGGCGAUGGAAAAUUGGCAUCGUAGACAAGCUGAUAAAGGGCAGAGACGGAAUUGUGAGAGCAGUACGAUUGCGAGCUGGUAAGUCGUUCCUGGAACGUGCCAUACAACAGUUGUAUCCGAUGGAGUUAUCGUGCGACAGAGCAAGCCAGAAGAAACUGGAUGCAACAGUUAAAGAAUUCACACCAAAACGACGUGCAGCAAAGAUAGCGAAAGAGAACAUUCGUCUAUUUGCUGAAGAAGAAGAGGAAGAACAUUAGCAUGGAACAUUUAGCAGUUAUGGGUUAAUACUGAACAGUUACGUCCGUAUUAGGACUAUUAUGACGUUGAAGUUGACUUUAUCAUAUAACCGUAAAUAUAUUUACCUUUGGACUAGCCAAAGUAUUAAAUAGGGGGAGAGUGGGGGAAAGUGUAGGGAUAUAGACGGACAAGUGAUAAUUCAAGUUGAUAUCUAGAGAUAGAGACGGACAGGACAUUAUAAAUGUGGAUAUGUAGGGAUAAAUAUGGUUAGUAGGGUUAUAAAAACACGUGUGAGAAUCCAAGAUGGCGGAACGUUGUUGUUUUUCGAGAGCAUUUAUUUAGUAUAAAAUUAGCAUGUUUUAGAUAUUAAAAAGGAAUAGA
Non-coding RNA from Paramuricea clavata, 1965 nucleotides. Lineage: Eukaryota; Metazoa; Cnidaria; Anthozoa; Malacalcyonacea; Plexauridae. The record is from the annotation of a GenBank genome assembly.